Molecule: ribosomal RNA, 402 nt
Filed under: uncultured prokaryote
Description: bacterial SSU rRNA
Rfam family: Bacterial small subunit ribosomal RNA
Source: RNAcentral
UGGGGAAUCUUGGACAAUGGGGGCAACCCUGAUCCAGCCAUGCCGCGUGAGUGACGAAGGCCUUCGGGUUGUAAAGCUCUUUCGCCCACGACGAUGAUGACGGUAGUGGGAGAAGAAGCCCCGGCUAACUCCGUGCCAGCAGCCGCGGUAAUACGGAGGGGGCUAGCGUUGUUCGGAAUCACUGGGCGUAAAGCGCACGUAGGCGGCGUGUUUAGUCAGAGGGGAAAGGCCCGGGCUCAACCCGGGAACUGCCUUUGAUACUGGCACGCUCGAGUCCGAGAGGGGGUGGUGGAACUCCCAGUGUAGAGGUGAAAUUCGUAGAUAUUGGGAAGAACACCGGUGGCGAAGGCGACCACCUGGCUCGGGACUGACGCUGAGGUGCGAAAGCGUGGGGAGCAAACA